UGGGGAAUAUUGCACAAUGGGCGCAAGCCUGAUGCAGCCAUGCCGCGUGUAUGAAGAAGGCCUUCGGGUUGUAAAGUACUUUCAGCGGGGAGGAAGGCGAUGUGGUUAAUAACCGCGUCGAUUGACGUUACCCGCAGAAGAAGCACCGGCUAACUCCGUGCCAGCAGCCGCGGUAAUACGGAGGGUGCAAGCGUUAAUCGGAAUUACUGGGCGUAAAGCGCACGCAGGCGGUCUGUCAAGUCGGAUGUGAAAUCCCCGGGCUCAACCUGGGAACUGCAUCCGAAACUGGCAGGCUUGAGUCUCGUAGAGGGGGUAGAAUUCCAGGUGUAGCGGUGAAAUGCGUAGAGAUCUGGAGGAAUACCGGUGGCGAAGGCGGCCCCCUGGACGAAGACUGACGCUCAGGUGCGAAAGCGUGGGGAGCAAACA
RNAcentral lists this ribosomal RNA (426 nucleotides) under uncultured bacterium. RNAcentral's name for it is "partial 16S ribosomal RNA". It matches the Rfam family "Bacterial small subunit ribosomal RNA", at positions 355 to 774 of the family's 1533-position model. The record is from RNAcentral.